UUACGGCUAUAUCACAUUCAAACCCUGAUUCUAGUACGAUCACCGAAGUUAAGCAACGUCGAGUCUGGUCAGUACCUAGAUGGGUGACCGCUUGGGAAUUCCAGGUGCUGUAA
Molecule: non-coding RNA, 113 nt
Organism: Acanthosepion pharaonis
Lineage: Eukaryota; Metazoa; Mollusca; Cephalopoda; Sepiida; Sepiidae
Source: the annotation of a GenBank genome assembly